RNAcentral lists this ribosomal RNA (496 nucleotides) under uncultured bacterium. RNAcentral's name for it is "partial 16S ribosomal RNA". It matches the Rfam family "Bacterial small subunit ribosomal RNA", at positions 28 to 507 of the family's 1533-position model. The record is from RNAcentral.
GAUGAACGCUGGCGGCGUGCCUAAUACAUGCAAGUCGAGCGAACGGACGAGAAGCUUGCUUCUCUGAUGUUAGCGGCGGACGGGUGAGUAACACGUGGAUAACCUACCUAUAAGACUGGGAUAACUUCGGGAAACCGGAGCUAAUACCGGAUAAUAUUUUGAACCGCAUGGUUCAAAAGUGAAAGACGGUCUUGCUGUCACUUAUAGAUGGAUCCGCGCUGCAUUAGCUAGUUGGUAAGGUAACGGCUUACCAAGGCAACGAUGCAUAGCCGACCUGAGAGGGUGAUCGGCCACACUGGAACUGAGACACGGUCCAGACUCCUACGGGAGGCAGCAGUAGGGAAUCUUCCGCAAUGGGCGAAAGCCUGACGGAGCACGCCGCGUGAGUGAUGAAGGUCUUCGGAUCGUAAAACUCUGUUAUUAGGGAAGAACAUAUGUGUAAGUAACUGUGCACAUCUUGACGGUACCUAAUCAGAAAGCCACGGCUAACUACGUG